AACGAACGCUGGCGGCGCGCUUAAUACAUGCAAGUCGAACGAGAAGGUGUAGCAAUACACUUGUAAAGUGGCGAACGGGUGAGGAAUACAUGGGUAACCUACCCUCGAGUGGGGAACAACCAGCCGAAAGGUUGGCUAAUACCGCGUACGCUUCCGGGUCUUCGGAUUCGGAAGGAAAGUCAUACCGUGGGUAUGACGCUCAAGGAUGGGCUCAUGUCCUAUCAGCUUGUUGGUAGGGUAACGGCCACCAAGGCUCCGACGGGUAGCUGGUCUGAGAGGACGAUCAGCCACACUGGCACUGCGACACGGGCCAGACUCCUACGGGAGGCAGCAGUAAGGAAUAUUGCGCAAUGGGCGAAAGCCUGACGCAGCGACGCCGCGUGGGGAUGAAGGUCUUCGGAUUGUAAACCCCUUCGGGAGGGAAAAUGGAACGAGCAAUCGUUCGGAUGGUACCUCCAGAAGCAGCCACGGCUAACUUCGUGCCA
Molecule: ribosomal RNA, 485 nt
Filed under: uncultured bacterium
Lineage: Bacteria
Description: bacterial SSU rRNA
Rfam family: Bacterial small subunit ribosomal RNA
Source: RNAcentral